Molecule: ribosomal RNA, 492 nt
Filed under: uncultured bacterium
Lineage: Bacteria
Description: partial 16S ribosomal RNA
Rfam family: Bacterial small subunit ribosomal RNA
Source: RNAcentral
AGUGAACGCUGGCGGCAGGCCUAAUACAUGCAAGUCGAACGGCAGCACAGUAAGAGCUUGCUCUUACGGGUGGCGAGUGGCGGACGGGUGAGGAAUACAUCGGAAUCUACUUUUUCGUGGGGGAUAACGUAGGGAAACUUACGCUAAUAGCUCAUAUGACCUACGGGUGAAAGCAGGGGAUCUACAGAGCUUGCGCGAUUGAAUGAGCAGAUGUCGGAUUAGCUAGUUGGCGGGGUAAAGGCACACAAAGGCGACGAUCCGUAGCUGGUCUGAGAGGAUGAUCAGCCACACUGGAACUGAGACACGGUCCAGACUCCUACGGGAGGCAACAGUGGGGAAUAUUGCACAAUGGGCGCAAGCCUGAUCGAGCCAUACCGCGUGGGUGAAGAAGUUCUUCGGCUUGUAGAGCUCUUUUGUUGGGAAAGAAAAUACGCAGGUUAAUACCUCGCUGUUCUGACGGUACCCAAAGAGAAAGCAACGGCUAACUUCGUG